UACGUAGGGGGCAAGCGUUGUCCGGAAUUACUGGGCGUAAAGCGUGCGCAGGCGGUUCGCUAAGACCGAUGUGAAAUCCCCGGGCUUAACCUGGGAACUGCAUUGGUGACUGGCGGGCUAGAGUAUGGCAGAGGGGGGUAGAAUUCCACGUGUAGCAGUGAAAUGCGUAGAGAUGUGGAGGAAUACCGAUGGCGAAGGCAGCCCCCUGGGCCAAUACUGACGCUCAUGCACGAAAGCGUGGGGAGCAAACAGG
This 253-nucleotide ribosomal RNA is filed under the name uncultured bacterium. Its description in RNAcentral is "partial 16S ribosomal RNA". It matches the Rfam family "Bacterial small subunit ribosomal RNA", at positions 524 to 776 of the family's 1533-position model. The record is from RNAcentral.